This 320-nucleotide ribosomal RNA is filed under the name Staphylococcus aureus. RNAcentral's name for it is "bacterial SSU rRNA". It matches the Rfam family "Bacterial small subunit ribosomal RNA", at positions 1215 to 1533 of the family's 1533-position model. The record is from RNAcentral. Lineage: Bacteria; Bacillati; Bacillota; Bacilli; Caryophanales; Staphylococcaceae.
UACACACGUGCUACAAUGGACAAUACAAAGGGCAGCGAAACCGCGAGGUCAAGCAAAUCCCAUAAAGUUGUUCUCAGUUCGGAUUGUAGUCUGCAACUCGACUACAUGAAGCUGGAAUCGCUAGUAAUCGUAGAUCAGCAUGCUACGGUGAAUACGUUCCCGGGUCUUGUACACACCGCCCGUCACACCACGAGAGUUUGUAACACCCGAAGCCGGUGGAGUAACCUUUUAGGAGCUAGCCGUCGAAGGUGGGACAAAUGAUUGGGGUGAAGUCGUAACAAGGUAGCCGUAUCGGAAGGUGCGGCUGGAUCACCUCCUUU